This 30-nucleotide non-coding RNA is filed under the name Homo sapiens (human). The record is from RNAcentral. Lineage: Eukaryota; Metazoa; Chordata; Mammalia; Primates; Hominidae.
UAAUCUCCCCAUNUUAGGGUUAGCCUAUUA